UUGCAAAUGGCUGCCAGAGUUAUUGUUGCUAUUGAGAACCCACAGGACAUCAUUGUUCAGUCUGCUAGGCCCUAUGGUCAGAGAGCUGUCUUGAAGUUCGCUCAGUACACAGGAGCCAAUGCCAUUGCUGGAAGGCACACUCCUGGUACCUUCACUAAUCAGAUGCAGACCUCAUUCAGUGAGCCCAGGCUUCUGAUUCUUACAGAUCCCCGUACCGACCACCAGGUAAACUCCUUUUCCUAAUACCACGGAUGGUUAUGUUAUGUCUUGUUCUGGAUUAACAUCUUGUAUGUGUUGUUGCAGCCCAUCAAGGAAGGUGCUUUGGGAAACAUCCCCAUCAUUGCUUUCUGUGACACAGACUCUCCCAUGAGGUUUGUUGACAUUGGUAUCCCAGCCAACAACAAGGGAAAACACAGCAUUGGUUGUCUUUUCUGGCUUCUUGCUCGCAUGGUCCUUCAGAUGCGUGGAACCAUCCGCCCUGCACAGAAAUGGGAUGUUAUGGUAAGAGGCAUUUCUUUUUGCAAAAGCUUACAUGUGUCCAUUGUGGUUUUGAUAAUGUUGGCGACAUGAAGUUGUCAAUUCAUAUUCCUACUGUUCAUGUUUGGUGUUUGACUUGUUCAUGCGUUGUUCUGUAUAGGUCGAUCUGUUCUUCUACAGAGAGCCCGAGGAGGCUAAGCCAGAAGAUGAGGAUGAGUCUGCACCUCAGGCAGACUUUGGACUACCUGCUCCUGAAUAUGGAAUGGUUGGUGGAGAGCAGUGGACCACAGCUGCGAUCCCUGAUGCUGCAUGGCCAGGUGAAGCCCAGCAGCCAAUUGCUGCUGCUCCUGCCGCUGCUUCUUGGACUGAUUCUAGCGGUGAGUUAGAUAUAACCUGAAACGCUGUUUUGGCUCAGUGAUCUCUUAGUCUACGAUGUUGAUUUUGAUUUUGGUUUAUUCUUGUGGUUACAGUUGCUCCAGCAGCAGAUGGAUGGGACACGGCUGUGCCACCCCCAACUGCUCCAGCUACCGGUUGGGAAUAAAUUUGAUAGGCUCUACAAUGUUUGGUUAUAGACAUUGUUUUUUGUUACUGUUGGGAUUGAAAAAUUAUCGAACCGCAACUUAUUUUCCUCUCGCAUCAUUCUCUCAAGACACUUAGAUUAUUAUUCUGUUCGCUUUUAUCACAAAUAUAAAUUGAGCUUCCUGUUUCUUGCAACAUUUCUCCACAUUCUCAUGGAAGUUACUUGGAAGCAGUACGAAUAUAAAGGCUAAUAUAACAUUUCUCGAAUAUAGCACAAUAUGAAAGUGGAGAUGUCUUUCAAUAUUGGCCACAAUCGAACAGGAUAGAUUUUAGCUUUCAACAUUGGCCUGAAUCAAACAGAAUAGAUUUUAUAGCUUUCAACAUUGGCCUGAAUCAAAGAGAAUAGAUUUUGGCAAUCUAAAUUACAAGGCAAAAAAACAGUAUCUCUUUCUCGAUCCACACUUCACAGUGAUGUAAGAUCAUAUCUUCACGCAGAGAAUUUUUAAAAUCAGAUUUCACGACAAUUUAAACUUCCCGAACCCAAAUUUCCAGCGCUAAACGGAUACCUUUUGCUAACAAGUUUGUACACACUUGGAGCCCGGUUUAAGAAAAACAAACCGGAAAUUGAACCAGUGGUUAUUGGCUAAGUUUUUAUUUCAUCAACUCUAAAAAUGUUAAUUUACUAGCUCCGAUAAAUUUACCACGGUCAUUGGUAAAAAUACGUGGGAUAAACAUGAGGGCAAAACAGACUUUAUAUUCGAAUUAGGGUUUCGCUUGAUAAAUUGCCGUCUCCCUCACAGUUCUUUUAGUUUCCCCUCGCCGCUCUCGUGUGAUUUACACUGCAGAAACCUAUCUCGGCGAUUAGGUCCCGGAGAAGAAGAAGAAGAAAAGAAACAGUAUGGCGACUGACUUAACUGCUAGCUCUGGACAGCUUUCCCAGAAGGAAGCUGACAUCAGGAUGAUGUGUGCUGCUGAGGUUCACCUUGGAACCAAAAAUUGCAAUUACCAAAUGGAGCGUUACGUCUUCAAGAGACGCAACGAUGGUAACUAUACAUCUCGUGUAUUUCUUUUUGCUACUUGUAUAAACAUACCAAUAUUUAUGUGUGUAUGUAGAUGAUUAGGCAUUGUGAUUCCGUGUUGCUAUUGCGGAUUUGUAUGUUUUUGUGUCUUUUGAGUUUUUGUUUCCCCAUAGAUUGUUUAUGAUCUCUUUUUGGCUCAUGCUGCUUUGUUUUAGAUGAGUUAUGGAUUUGUAGGUCGUUUUAGUUCCUCACUCUUUUAUCCCCAAAGUAGAGUUUAGCCGCUACCACGGAUCUAAGUAGCCGCUGACAAAAGCAAAAUACUUCAGCGUUGAACUCUAUCCAUUUCUGUCAACAUUUCGUCUAUUAAUAAGUCUAGAUAACUACCAAAGGGAUGGUUUGUGUCUUUUAUUGUAUUCAUGAUCACAAGAGUGGUUUUAGUGUUUACGAAGAAAUGAGUAUUUCACGGGUUUCAUUUGGUUUCUUGAUUCUAAGCUUACGAAUGGAAAACUGAGCCAAUGGCAGAUAAUCCUCUUCGAGACUGAUGUUUGACACUGUAUGGAUGCAAGUGUUUAUUUUUUUGUUACUCUUAUCGACUAGUGUUCUUACUUCUGUUUGAUUUUAUAUGCUCAACAAUGCAUAUUGCAUGUCAAUUUUGACGUUUGAUUUUCCUUUUCAGGUAUUUACAUAUUCAACCUCGGCAAAACAUGGGAAAAGCUGCAGAUGGCUGCUAGAGUUAUUGUUGCUAUUGAGAACCCACAGGACAUCAUUGUCCAGUCUGCUAGGCCCUAUGGUCAGAGAGCUGUCCUGAAGUUCGCUCAGUACACAGGAGCCAAUGCCAUUGCUGGAAGGCACACUCCUGGUACCUUCACUAAUCAGAUGCAGACCUCAUUCAGUGAGCCCAGGCUUCUGAUUCUUACAGAUCCCCGUACCGACCACCAGGUAAACUCCUUUUCCUAAUACCACGGAUGGUUAUGUUAUGUCUUGUUCUGGAUUAACAUCUUGUAUGUGUUGUUGCAGCCC
This 3035-nucleotide long non-coding RNA is filed under the name Eutrema salsugineum. RNAcentral describes it as "long non-coding RNA (ESAL_LNC000050)". Lineage: Eukaryota; Viridiplantae; Streptophyta; Magnoliopsida; Brassicales; Brassicaceae. The record is from RNAcentral.